AAUUCUGCAGAAGGCAUCAAGGGUUAUAAAAAAAGUCUAUGCAAGGAGCUCAGGAAGUAGGGAAGUCUGCGACAAUAGAUAAUGGACUUGGGAUGCAUACCAUGUCAGAUAGUACACAAAGGAAAUGAAUCGCUGUAGUUCAAGGGUCACAAACUAAGGGAAAGCAAUGGUGGGAGAGAAUGAUCUACUAAUUGUGGGACCAGGUGUUCUUGGUUGCUUGGUGGUUGAAAAAUGGAGGGAGCAGGGAGAUCCCAUUCUGGAGAUAAAGAAGAACACAAAAGAUCAAAGCUGCUACUGGAUUUUUUGAGCUUCUCUACUUCUAGCUUUUCAUCUAUGGCCAGAUACUCAGUUGUGACUGAUAAGGUCUCAAUGGAGGUUGUUAAAGAAUUCAUUCUAGAACGGUUGAAUCUGACAAAAGGCAUAAUAUCUAAAAUUAAGCACAUUCAUUUGACAGGAUAAUUUGGAAACCCUAUUGCAAGAGGACAUUCAGGCUGAUCUAGUCUGUUGCUUGCAGCAUUUGCAGUUAAGAUUUGAAACUGAAGACAAAGCAAGAAGACUUCUAAGUAAUGUGUCAUUUUUGUUGAAACCAGGGGGUUAUUUUUUCGGUAUUACUCCUGAAAAAGUGAUUGCCCAAAACUAUUGUUUCUAGAUUUGUGUAUUUUUCUUCUUUUUUUCUUGUGGUUACUGUUGCACUUGUUUCUGGGAGGUGAUUGUGUAAACAUUUAAUGUACUUUUAGCGGUGUUUGUGAUAAAAGUCCGCUAAAGAUCAUGUUCUUUAGCGGUGUUUGUGGGUAAAUCGCCGCUAAAGGUCAUUUUUUUAGCGGCGUUCUUGGGUAAAGCACCGCUAAGGGUCAUGUUCUUUAGCGGCGUUUUUUGGUAAAGCACCGCUAAAGGUCUUGUUCUUUAGCGACAUUUGUGGGUAAAGCGUCGCUUAAGGUCAUGUUCUUUAGCGGCGUUUAUGGGUAAAGCGUCGCUUAAGGUCAUGUUUUUUAGUGGCGUUUGUGGGUAAAGCGUCGCUUAAGGUCAUGUUCUUUAGCGGCGUUUGUGGGUAAAGCGCCGCUAAAAGGUCAUGUUCUUUAGCGGCAUUUUUGGGUAAAGCGCCGCUAAAUGUCAUGUUCUUUAGUGGCGUUUCUGGGUAAAGCGCCACUAAAGAUCAUGUUCUUUAGCGGCAUUUUUUUACAUAAACGCCGCAAAAGUUAACGACGUUGUCAAUAGUGGCAUUUUUUGCGGCGCUAGUGAAAGCUCGCUAAAGGCCUAAAAAACGUCGCUAAAAGCUUGUUUUGGAUAUAUAAAUUUUGAAUACUUUUUAAAUAAUUAAUAUAAAUUAUUUGUAUGAUUUAAA
RNA transcript from Gossypium raimondii (Peruvian cotton), 1342 nucleotides. It is a transcript of the gene named mRNA cap guanine-N7 methyltransferase-like, with no coding region annotated. The record is from RefSeq and is a predicted model, not a curated record. The transcript has 6 exons. Lineage: Eukaryota; Viridiplantae; Streptophyta; Magnoliopsida; Malvales; Malvaceae.